RNAcentral lists this ribosomal RNA (460 nucleotides) under uncultured bacterium. RNAcentral describes it as "partial 16S ribosomal RNA". It matches the Rfam family "Bacterial small subunit ribosomal RNA", at positions 338 to 795 of the family's 1533-position model. The record is from RNAcentral.
CCUACGGGAGGCAGCAGUGAGGAAUUUUGGUCAAUGGGCGAUAGUCUGAACCAGCGAAGUAGCGUGAAGGAUGAAUGCCCUAUGGGUUGUAAACUUCUUUUAUAUGGGAAUAAAGUGCAGAAUGUAUACUGCUUUGCAUGUACCUUAUGAAUACGGAUCGGCUAACUCCGUGCCAGCAGCCGCGGUAAUACGGAGGAUCCGAGCGUUAUCCGGAAUUAUUGGGUUUAAAGGGAGCGUAGGCGGGUUGGUAAGUCAGUUGUGAAAGGUUGCGGCUCAACCGUAAAAUUGCAGUUGAUACUGGCAUCCUUGAGUACAGUAGAGGUAGGCGGAAUUCGUGGUGUAGCGGUGAAAUGCUUAGAUAUGACGAAGAACUCCGAUGGCGAAGGCAGCCUGCUGGACUGUAACUGACGCUGAUGCUCGAAAGUGAGGGUAUCAAACAGGAUUAGAUACCCGAGUAGUC